Biomphalaria pfeifferi is the source of this 263-nucleotide non-coding RNA. NCBI's taxonomy places the organism in Eukaryota, Metazoa, Mollusca, Gastropoda, Planorbidae. The record is from the annotation of a GenBank genome assembly.
UUUAUGUUUCAAAAGUUUUUUAUUGUCUUGUGUCAAAGAAAGACUCAAUAUCAACCAGACAAGUAAUUGUUCCAUCAAGAAACAGCAGAUUAAAAAACAAAGGGAGAGAAUACAUGGCAAAGCAAAGGUCAGAUUCUCCACAGUAUAAUAAAUUGUCGUAGAAAAGAAAUACAACACCAGAGGAAAUUAUGCAUAGAACAACCCAAAAUGGAGUCCACAAUGUGAGCCUUGUGGUUUCAAUAUUUCAACUAAGACGAUCUCAA